AGUGAACGCUGGCGGUAGGCCUAACACAUGCAAGUCGAACGGCAGCACAGUAAGAGCUUGCUCUUACGGGUGGCGAGUGGCGGACGGGUGAGGAAUACAUCGGAAUCUACUUUUUCGUGGGGGAUAACGUAGGGAAACUUACGCUAAUACCGCAUACGACCUACGGGUGAAAGCAGGGGAUCUUCGGACCUUGCGCGAUUGAAUGAGCCGAUGUCGGAUUAGCUAGUUGGCGGGGUAAAGGCCCACCAAGGCGACGAUCCGUAGCUGGUCUGAGAGGAUGAUCGGCCACACUGGAACUGAGAAACGGUCCAGACUCCUACGGGAGGCAGCAGUGGGGAAUAUUGGACAAUGGGCGCAAGCCUGAUCCAGCCAUACCGCGUGGGUGAAGAAGGCCUUCGGGUUGUAAAGCCCUUUUGUUGGGAAAGAAAAGCAGCAGGGUAAUACCCCGCUGUUCUGACGGUACCCAAAGAAUAAGCACCGGCUAACUUCGU
RNAcentral lists this ribosomal RNA (491 nucleotides) under uncultured bacterium. RNAcentral's name for it is "partial 16S ribosomal RNA". It matches the Rfam family "Bacterial small subunit ribosomal RNA", at positions 29 to 506 of the family's 1533-position model. The record is from RNAcentral.